Molecule: transfer RNA, 72 nt
Filed under: Phrynosoma platyrhinos (Desert horned lizard)
Lineage: Eukaryota; Metazoa; Chordata; Lepidosauria; Squamata; Phrynosomatidae
Description: tRNA-OTHER
Source: RNAcentral
GCCAGUGUAGCACAGUGGUUUGAGUGUUGGUCUACAAUUCUGGAGACCAGAGUUUGAUUCCCAGCUCAGCCA